Long non-coding RNA from Leopardus geoffroyi (Geoffroy's cat), 1855 nucleotides. RefSeq lists it as uncharacterized. Lineage: Eukaryota; Metazoa; Chordata; Mammalia; Carnivora; Felidae. The record is from RefSeq and is a predicted model, not a curated record. The transcript is spliced from 4 exons.
AGGUAGGCAGCAAACUCAACAGGACUUGGUUACGGGUAGAACACGCUUCCCCAGGGGAAGGAAAGAAGGGCUCCAAAACCACUGUCAGAUUUCUGGCAUGUCCAGGAAGAUGACUUGGGAAUGGAUACCCAGAGGAGGAUUGAGUUGGCGGUGGGAGAGCAAAGUGUUACCUUGGACGCGUGUCAUUUUGAGAUUGUGCAGGUGUCGAGCAUCUGCCGGCGGACGGGCGUGAGCUGAGAGGGGAGGCUGGAGAGGAGGACUCGUGAAUCGCCUGUGCCUUGAUGGUAACUGAAAGCCAUGGCCUCAUAGAAUGGCUUUUUAUCUGAUUCCAGAUAAGAGAGAUAAGAGAGAGCCUGGGGGAGAACCAAGGAAAGGGACUCUGGUUCUCUCGGGGAAGGGACCACAUCACCUUCAACCCAUCAGCUAACUCUUUAGCUCUUUAGCUCACCCCUUACCUUUGGUUCUUGAUGAAAAGGAAAUACAUCAAAAUGCUAACCUUAGUUAUCUUUGAAAAUGUAGGUUUUUUUUUUUUUUUUUUUUUAAGCCUGUCAUUGAGCAGACGUAAAAGGAAGUAGUAAAAUCAGAAGCCCGCAUAGUAGGAAAGAUCAGGAAGCGGCUGGUGGCUUCAUUAUGUUUCAAUGUUUUCAGCACAGUUCAUGUGUUAUCAAAUCUCUUUCACUAGCUGCUUUCCUCACGUGGGAGGUUUUAAAGAAUUGGCUGCUUGUAAUGUUCCCUAUUCUAAAAUAUUUAUGUUUAAAAGCAGGAAAAGCAUCGAGAUGAUUAUGGUCUUUAGCAGCAGGAUGGCGUUGCCACGAGUGAUGUGAAAUGAUGUAAACCACUCCUGGGAGGGCUGCUGUGUUUUAAACCUCACUUCAGCUUUUCCUCACCUCCGUCUGGUGAUGAACAGCAGACAGGAGAGAAGGCUUCGUGGGAGCUUGCGCAACAUGUGUGACAAUGGAUCAAUGGCCACAAAAGUCCCGCCAGCCUAAGCGGUAGCUCCUGAAGCGGUGGUUCACAAAAACACAUUCCUUCUGUGGUCAACGGGGGAGCGACGAAAAAGAGUUCCACGCUCAUCUCUCUGAGUUUAGGAAAUUCUGGGCUCUCUGAAGUUAAAUAGGUCUCCCUCCUACAGAAUUUCUCGGAGUCUCUAGCAUGAAGAUAUGCAUGGAGAGCCUGCCCGAGGGGUUCCACAGAAUUCUGGGUCUCUCCCCAGGUUUCGAAGAAUAUUCAUGGACACUCCUCUUCUCAAAAUCAAUGGUUUCUUACCGUCACGAGUACGUAAAAUGGGUAUUUAAACAACGCUUCACCUUGGGGAGAGAUGACUACGUUUUGAGGUAGCCUCGCACGACGAGCUUGACUUGAUUCCAACAGCUGGGGAACAAGGCCAUCGGUCAUUCGGUGAAUAAGGCCAUCGCUAUUUGUGACAUCAAAUCAAGAAGUCUCCAACCAACAGAGCAUCAGCCAAAGCGGUGGGCGUUUAUGAGGCGGCGAUCCAACUUCUGGGACCCGGAGGACAGCUGCCGUAUUUUGGUGCGCAUCCAUCGAGACCAACUGGUCUAUUGUUUUUUUAAAGGAAGCUCGAGGUCAGACCUCAGCGGGACCAGCCAACUGCUCUCCCCCGUUCCACAUUGAUCUCCAAAUGCCUGGCUCACAAGCCUUCCAUGGUGGAAACUGGAAAGUCCCGUCAUGCUUAGCAUUGCAUUUAAGAGUUUCUCAAGCUUGUGCACACAUGCCCUGAGCAGGGGGUGUGUGCAAGGUCACAGGACAAACAUCUACCCAUUUUAUUUGUAGAUUAAAAACAUUAUUUUUAUAUUUUAUGAUUAUAUUUAUACUAACAUGUGACCUAGAAUGAAAA